UCCUCAGUAGCUCAAUGGCAGAGCACGCGGCUGUUAACCGCAAGGUUGUUGGUUCGAGUCCAACCUGAGGAG
This 72-nucleotide transfer RNA is filed under the name Chloroflexota bacterium. Its description in RNAcentral is "tRNA-Asn". It matches the Rfam family "tRNA". Rfam says of the family: Transfer RNA (tRNA) molecules are approximately 80 nucleotides in length. RNAcentral also lists the same sequence under 2 other names. The record is from RNAcentral. Lineage: Bacteria; Bacillati; Chloroflexota.